This 1003-nucleotide long non-coding RNA is filed under the name Ricinus communis (castor bean). RNAcentral's name for it is "long non-coding RNA (RCOM_LNC003547)". The record is from RNAcentral. Lineage: Eukaryota; Viridiplantae; Streptophyta; Magnoliopsida; Malpighiales; Euphorbiaceae.
CCCCCCCAAGCCUAGAGAUCGUCUCCAGCCUCAGCAUAAAGAUAGCCCACAUGCCACCAGUGCUUCGUCAAAAACAUCCAAAUUUCCACCAACAGCCCGUGUCCAGCCUCAACAAAAGCACAGACGCCUGCUAGAAAUGUAUCAUCGACCAGAUCCAAACUCCUCGCAACAGGGAGUGCGCAUAAGCUUCGGCCACAGAAGGUCAGGCAAUACAAUUGAAUGACAUGCCCUCUCAGUGCAACAUCCGCCUAAUAACACGCCCAAGCUUAGAGAUCAACUCCAGCCUUAACAUAAGCAUGCGCCCGUGCAAGGUUUGCAUCGUCGGUAGGAUGCGAACUCCCGUGCUAAGAACUUUCCGCCACACCACCUCAAGCAAUACAACCGAAUGACAUUGCCCUCAGAGUGCAACAUCCGAUCAUUAGCACGUUGGAGCACAGCGCUCAUCUCCAGCCUCAACACAAGCACAAGCCCAUGCUAGACAUGUAUCAUCGACCAGAUCCAAACUCCUCGCAACAGGGAAUGCGCAUAAGCUUCCGCCACACAAGGUCAGGCAAUACAAUUGAAUGACAUGCCCUCUCAGUGCAACACCCGCCUAAUAACACGCCCAAGCUCAGAGAUCAUCUCCAGCCUUAACAUAAGCAUGUGCCCGAGCAAGAUCUGCAUCGUCGGCAGGAUACAAACUCCGUGCAAAGAGCUUCCGUCACACCACCUCAGGCAAUACAAUUGAAUGACAUGCCCUCAUAAUGCAACAUCAUCAGCCCUAUAUGACGCCCGAGCAUGUAGCUCAUCUCCAGCCUCAACAUAAGCACAAGCCCAAGCUAGACAUGUAUCAUCGACCGGAUCCAAACUCCUUGCAACAGGGAGUGCGCAUAAGCUUCUGCGACACGAGGUCAAGCAAUACAAUUGAAUGACAUGCCCUCUCAGUGCAACAUCUGCCUAAUAACACGCCCAAGCUUAGAGCUUCUCUCCAGCCUUAACAUAAGCAUGCGCGGGUGCAAGAUUU